GGGGAGUUAAUUCCGUAGAGGUAGCGGUGCAGACUGUAAAUCUGUUGUCAUUGCGACUCGGGUGGUUCGACUCCAUCACUCCCCACCA
Molecule: transfer RNA, 88 nt
Filed under: Enterobacter ludwigii
Lineage: Bacteria; Pseudomonadati; Pseudomonadota; Gammaproteobacteria; Enterobacterales; Enterobacteriaceae
Also listed under: 6 other names
Description: tRNA-Tyr
Rfam family: tRNA
About the family: Transfer RNA (tRNA) molecules are approximately 80 nucleotides in length.
Source: RNAcentral